Molecule: ribosomal RNA, 484 nt
Filed under: uncultured bacterium
Lineage: Bacteria
Description: partial 16S ribosomal RNA
Rfam family: Bacterial small subunit ribosomal RNA
Source: RNAcentral
AUUGAACGCUGGCGGCAGGCCUAACACAUGCAAGUCGAGCGGAUGAAGGGAGCUUGCUCCUGGAUUCAGCGGCGGACGGGUGAGUAAUGCCUAGGAAUCUGCCUGGUAGUGGGGGAUAACGUCCGGAAACGGGCGCUAAUACCGCAUACGUCCUGAGGGAGAAAGUGGGGGAUCUUCGGACCUCACGCUAUCAGAUGAGCCUAGGUCGGAUUAGCUAGUUGGUGGGGUAAAGGCCUACCAAGGCGACGAUCCGUAACUGGUCUGAGAGGAUGAUCAGUCACACGGGAACUGAGACACGGUCCAGACUCCUACGGGAGGCAGCAGUGGGGAAUAUUGGGCAAUGGGCGAAAGCCUGAUCCAGCCAUGCCGCGUGUGUGAAGAAGGUCUUCGGAUUGUAAAGCACUUUAAGUUGGGAGGAAGGGCAGUAAGUUAAUACCUUGCUGUUUUGACGUUACCAACAGAAUAAGCACCGGCUAACUUCGUG